UCAUCUGUUUCUUAAAUAUUUAUUGAAUUUGACUUUUAAGUGAAAAGGCUUAAAUAAAUCAAAAAGACGAUAAGACCCUAUAAAUCUUAACAAUAAAUAUAUUUUAUAUUUUAGUUUAUAAGUGUAUAAGGAAUAAAAAUAUAGGUUUGUUACGCUGGGGCGGCGUAGAUAUAUAAAUAAACUGUCUAUAGUUUAAAUACAAUAAUCAUUGCUUAAUACAAAUUGAUCCUUAAAUAGAUUAAAAGAUUAAGAUACUUUAGGGAUAACAGCGUUAUUUUUUUUGAGAGUUCUUAUCGAAGAAAAAGUUUGCGACCUCGAUGUUGAAUUAAAGUAUCUCUAUGGUGC
RNAcentral lists this ribosomal RNA (345 nucleotides) under Lithodes ferox. RNAcentral's name for it is "partial 16S ribosomal RNA". It matches the Rfam family "Bacterial large subunit ribosomal RNA", at positions 2048 to 2556 of the family's 2925-position model. The record is from RNAcentral. Lineage: Eukaryota; Metazoa; Arthropoda; Malacostraca; Decapoda; Lithodidae.